RNAcentral lists this ribosomal RNA (253 nucleotides) under uncultured bacterium. RNAcentral's name for it is "partial 16S ribosomal RNA". It matches the Rfam family "Bacterial small subunit ribosomal RNA", at positions 524 to 776 of the family's 1533-position model. The record is from RNAcentral.
UACGUAGGGGGCCAGCGUUGUUCGGAAUUACUGGGCGUAAAGCGCACGUAGGCGGCUUUGUAAGUUAGAGGUGAAAGCCCAGGGCUCAACCCUGGAAUUGCCUUUAAGACUGCAUCGCUUGAACAUCGGAGAGGUAAGUGGAAUUCCGAGUGUAGAGGUGAAAUUCGUAGAUAUUCGGAAGAACACCAGUGGCGAAGGCGACUUACUGGACGAUUGUUGACGCUGAGGUGCGAAAGCGUGGGGAUCAAACAGG